GACGAACGCUGGCGGCGUGCUUAACACAUGCAAGUCGAACGGAGCUAAGUUUUCGGAUUUAGCUUAGUGGCGAACGGGUGAGUAACGCGUGAGGAACCUGCCUUUCAGUGGGGGACAACAGUUGGAAACGACUGCUAAUACCGCAUGAUACUAUUGAGCGGCAUCGCUUGAUAGUCAAAGAUUUAUUGCUGAAAGAUGGCCUCGCGUCUGAUUAGCUAGUUGGUGGGGUAAUGGCUCACCAAGGCGACGAUCAGUAGCCGGACUGAGAGGACGAACGGCCACAUUGGGACUGAGAUACGGCCCAG
RNAcentral lists this ribosomal RNA (305 nucleotides) under uncultured bacterium. Its description in RNAcentral is "bacterial SSU rRNA". It matches the Rfam family "Bacterial small subunit ribosomal RNA", at positions 28 to 334 of the family's 1533-position model. The record is from RNAcentral.